RNAcentral lists this small RNA (121 nucleotides) under Arabidopsis thaliana (thale cress). RNAcentral describes it as "ATSL247250". The record is from RNAcentral. Lineage: Eukaryota; Viridiplantae; Streptophyta; Magnoliopsida; Brassicales; Brassicaceae.
UUUAAAAUAAAUAAAUAAACAUAUGUUUUUUUAUAAGGGGCUAACUAGAGAAUGUUUGAAGCUGAGGGGGUGGACUAGAUUAAAAUCCUAAGCUAAGGAAGAAGAAGGUUUUGAUGUUAGU